AGAGCGAACGCUGGCGGCAGGCCUAAAACAUGCAAGUCGAACGAACCCUUCGGGGUUAGUGGCGCACGGGUGAGUAACGCGUGGGAAUGUACCUUAUAGUGGGGAAUAACUUCGGGAAACUGGAGCUAAUACCGCAUACGCCCGAAAGGGGAAAGAUUUAUCGCUAUAAGAUCAGCCCGCGUGAGAUUAGGUAGUUGGUGGGGUAAUGGCCUACCAAGCCUACGAUCUCUAGCUGGUCUGAGAGGAUGAUCAGCCACACUGGAACUGAGACACGGUCCAGACUCCUACGGGAGGCAGCAGUGGGGAAUAUUGGGCAAUGGAGGAAACUCUGACCCAGCCAUGCCGCGUGAAUGAUGAAGGCCUUAGGGUUGUAAAGUUCUUUCGCCGAUGAAGAUAAUGACGGUAGUCGGAGAAGAAGCCCCGGCUAACUUCGCGCCAGCAGCCGC
RNAcentral lists this ribosomal RNA (446 nucleotides) under uncultured bacterium. RNAcentral describes it as "SSU rRNA". It matches the Rfam family "Bacterial small subunit ribosomal RNA", at positions 26 to 518 of the family's 1533-position model. The record is from RNAcentral.